This 223-nucleotide long non-coding RNA is filed under the name Felis catus (domestic cat). Its description in RNAcentral is "lncRNA (ENSFCAG00000051245.1)". Lineage: Eukaryota; Metazoa; Chordata; Mammalia; Carnivora; Felidae. The record is from RNAcentral.
GGGGACCCUCUUGAAGACACAGGACAAAGUGAGAGCGGUUUGUCCUGCCGUAUCAGAUACGGGGAAGUAAAUCGAGCAGGAACCUUUGAUUAGCACCUUCCAAAGCAGCACACGGCAGGCUGUCUGUAACCUGUGUAUGUCGUCAAUAUAAACGAAGAUAACUGACUGGAGACAUCAUUUCUGAGGACAACACGAGCAACGUGAAAAUCUCACUGUUGGGGGA